GACGAACGCUGGCGGCGUGCCUAAUACAUGCGAGUAGAACGCUGAAGGAGGAGCUUGCUUCUCUGGAUGAGUUGCGAACGGGUGAGUAACGCGUAGGUAACCUGCCUGGUAGCGGGGGAUAACUAUUGGAAACGAUAGCUAAUACCGCAUAAUAGUAGAUGUUGCAUGACAUUUGCUUAAAAGGUGCAAUUGCAUCACUACCAGAUGGACCUGCGUUGUAUUAGCUAGUUGGUGAGGUAACGGCUCACCAAGGCGACGAUACAUAGCCGACCUGAGAGGGUGAUCGGCCACACUGGGACUGAGACACGGCCCAGACUCCUACGGGAGGCAGCAGUAGGGAAUCUUCGGCAAUGGACGGAAGUCUGACCGAGCAACGCCGCGUGAGUGAAGAAGGUUUUCGGAUCGUAAAGCUCUGUUGUAAGAGAAGAACGAGUGUGAGAGUGGAAAGUUCACACUGUGACGGUAUCUUACCAGAAAGGGACGGCUAACUACGUG
RNAcentral lists this ribosomal RNA (495 nucleotides) under uncultured bacterium. Its description in RNAcentral is "partial 16S ribosomal RNA". It matches the Rfam family "Bacterial small subunit ribosomal RNA", at positions 28 to 507 of the family's 1533-position model. The record is from RNAcentral.